Molecule: ribosomal RNA, 253 nt
Filed under: uncultured bacterium
Lineage: Bacteria
Description: partial 16S ribosomal RNA
Rfam family: Bacterial small subunit ribosomal RNA
Source: RNAcentral
UACGUAGGGUGCAAACGUUAAUCGGAAUUACUGGGCGUAAAGCGUGCGCAGGCGGUUUUGUAAGACAGAGGUGAAAUCCCCGGGCUCAACCUGGGAACUGCCUUUGUGACUGCAAGGCUUGAGUGCGGCAGAGGGGGAUGGAAUUCCGCGUGUAGCAGUGAAAUGCGUAGAUAUGCGGAGGAACACCGAUGGCGAAGGCAAUCCCCUGGGCCUGCACUGACGCUCAUGCACGAAAGCGUGGGGAGCAAACAGG